AGAGUUUGAUCCUGGCUCAGGACGAACGCUGGCGGCGUGCUUAACACAUGCAAGUCGAACGAGAAUCUACUGAAAGAGUUUUCGGACAAUGGAUGUAGAGGAAAGUGGCGGACGGGUGAGUAACGCGUGAGGAACCUGCCUUGAAGAGGGGGACAACAGUUGGAAACGACUGCUAAUACCGCAUGACGCAUAGAGGUCGCAUGAUCUUUAUGCCAAAGAUUUAUCGCUUCAAGAUGGCCUCGCGUCUGAUUAGCUGGUUGGCGGGGUAACGGCCCACCAAGGCGACGAUCAGUAGCCGGACUGAGAGGUUGAACGGCCACAUUGGGACUGAGAUACGGCCCAGACUCCUACGGGAGGCAGCAGUGGGGAAUAUUGGGCAAUGGGCGCAAGCCUGACCCAGCAACGCCGCGUGAAGGAAGAAGGCUUUCGGGUUGUAAACUUCUUUUAAGAGGGAAGAGCAGAAGACGGUACCUCUAGAAUAAGCCACGGCUAACUACGUGCCAGCAGCCGCGGUAAUACGUAGGUGGCAAGCGUUGUCCGGAUUUACUGGGUGUAAAGGGCGUGCAGCCGGGUCUGCAAGUCAGAUGUGAAAUCCAUGGGCUCAACCCAUGAACUGCAUUUGAAACUGUAGAUCUUGAGUGUCGGAGGGGCAAUCGGAAUUCCUAGUGUAGCGGUGAAAUGCGUAGAUAUUAGGAGGAACACCAGUGGCGAAGGCGGAUUGCUGGACGAUAACUGACGGUGAGGCGCGAAAGUGUGGGGAGCAAACAGGAUUAGAUACCCUGGUAGUCCACACUGUAAACGAUGAAUACUAGGUGUGCGGGGACUGACCCCCUGCGUGCCGCAGUAAACACAAUAAGCAUCCCACCUGGGGAGUACGCCGGCAACGGUGAAACUCAAAGGAAUUGACGGGGGCCCGCACAAGCGGAGGAACAUGUGGUUUAAUUCGAUGAUACGCGAGGAACCUUACCCGGGCUUGAAUUGCAGAGGAAGGAUUUGGAGACAAUGACGCCCUUCGGGGCCUCUGUGAAGGUGCUGCAUGGUUGUCGUCAGCUCGUGCCGUGAGGUGUCGGCUUAAGUGCCAUAACGAGCGCAACCCCUCUCCAUAGUUGCCAUCAGGUGAAGCUGGGCACUCUGUGGACACUGCCACCGUAAGGUGCGAGGAAGGUGGGGAUGACGUCAAAUCAGCACGGCCCUUACGUCCGGGGCUACACACGUGUUACAAUGGCAGGUACAGAGAGCCGGUCGUAUGCAAAUACGAUCCAAUCCUUAAAGCCUGUCUCAGUUCGGACUGGGGUCUGCAACCCGACCCCACGAAGCUGGAUUCGCUAGUAAUCGCGCAUCAGCCAUGGCGCGGUGAAUACGUUCCCGGGCCUUGUACACACCGCCCGUCGAGCCAUGAAAGCCGGGGGCGCCUGAAGUCCGUGACCGCAAGGAGCGGCCUAGGGCGAAACUGGUAAUUGGGGCUAAGUCGUAACAAGGUA
This 1481-nucleotide ribosomal RNA is filed under the name metagenome. Its description in RNAcentral is "bacterial SSU rRNA". It matches the Rfam family "Bacterial small subunit ribosomal RNA". The record is from RNAcentral.